This 263-nucleotide long non-coding RNA is filed under the name Lathyrus oleraceus (garden pea). RNAcentral's name for it is "Pisum sativum (pea) long non-coding RNA (PSAT_LNC010342)". Lineage: Eukaryota; Viridiplantae; Streptophyta; Magnoliopsida; Fabales; Fabaceae. The record is from RNAcentral.
UUUUCAAAAGGUCAAAUGCAUUAGUUAUUCUCUCUUAGAUGUCACGAGUUCAACUCCUUGCAAAGACAAAAAAAAUACAAUAUUUAUUCUUUAUUGGAAGUCAAAAAAUUCAAUUUUUCACAAAAACACAAAUAUUUAUGAAUCUAAACACUAAAAUUGAAAAUUUGUUUUCUUUAACAUCAUAAAAAAAAUAUUAAAAAAUUGAGUUACAAACUUAUUUCUUGACAACUCAUUCUCUUACAUGUUAGAAGAUUAAAGAUUAU